AGUGAACGCUGGCGGUAGGCCUAACACAUGCCAGUCGAACGGCAGCACAGUAAGAGCUUGCUCUUACGGGUGGCGAGUGGCGGACGGGUGAGGAAUACAUCGGAAUCUACUUUUUCGUGCGGGAUAACGUAGGGAAACUUACGCUAAUACCGCAUACGACCUACGGGUGAAAGCAGGGGAUCUUCGGACCUUGCGCGAUUGAAUGAGCCGAUGUCGGAUUAGCUAGUUGGCGGGGUAAAGGCCCACCAAGGCGACGAUCCGUAGCUGGUCUGAGAGGAUGAUCAGCCACACUGGAACUGAGACACGGUCCAGACUCCUACGGGAGGCAGCAGUGGGGAAUAUUGGACAAUGGGCGCAAGCCUGAUCCAGCCAUACCGCGUGGGUGAAGAAGGCCUUCGGGUUGUAAAGCCCUUCUGUUGGGAAAGAAAAGCAGCAGGUUAAUACCCCGCUGUUCUGACGGUACCCAAAGAAUAAGCACCGGCUAACUUCGUG
Molecule: ribosomal RNA, 492 nt
Filed under: uncultured bacterium
Lineage: Bacteria
Description: partial 16S ribosomal RNA
Rfam family: Bacterial small subunit ribosomal RNA
Source: RNAcentral